UGGCAGGUAGCUUAAUCGGCAGAGCGUCUGAUUGUUAAUCAGAAGAGUGUCGGUUCGACUCCGACCCUGCCAGCCA
RNAcentral lists this transfer RNA (76 nucleotides) under Acidobacteria bacterium 13_1_20CM_3_53_8. RNAcentral describes it as "tRNA-Asn". It matches the Rfam family "tRNA". From Rfam's summary of the family: Transfer RNA (tRNA) molecules are approximately 80 nucleotides in length. Their secondary structure includes four short double-helical elements and three loops (D, anti-codon, and T loops). Lineage: Bacteria; Pseudomonadati; Acidobacteriota. The record is from RNAcentral.